This 251-nucleotide unclassified non-coding RNA is filed under the name Hevea brasiliensis (rubber tree). Lineage: Eukaryota; Viridiplantae; Streptophyta; Magnoliopsida; Malpighiales; Euphorbiaceae. The record is from RNAcentral.
AGACAAUAUUGGAAAUGUUCAGAGCUAAAAAAUAAAAAUCUAGACAACAGCUCGAACUGAUGAAUGCCCAUGCAAUGACAAUAUAAUAUAGCAAAAAUAAUGGGUAAACUUAAGGAACCAAAGAACCACUUUUAAGUUUUAACUGUUGACAUGAUAGUCUAUUAUUUAGUAUAUACGGGUAUACAACUAAACAAAUGGAGUCCAACAAAAGCAAAAUUGAUAACCCACCUUUUAUUUCCUCCAGGCCAGAU